CCGUAUUAUAGUGGGUUCUUUCAUAUUUCUUUAUGCAUUUGUUAAAGAAGUGGGUUUUAAUUAUUUGCAGUAACACCUUUCUUAUUCUAAAAUUUUUAGAUGAUUGCACUCUGAAGAUGAAUUUUAGUUCACCAUCAAGAUACUCGUAUAAUGAACGUGGAGAAAAAUUGACGAUACCAUAAGUGUUCCUCUGCUUGACAAAUUCCUGCAAAAUUCCAUCACACCUUUGCGUGGACCUAUUUGGGUCUCUAAGAGAGAAGGUUUCAGCCCCUCAGGAGCAAAGAUGUAUAUCCAAGGAGUUCUGUUGGCCUUGCAUCAGCGAUUAAAGCCUGCAAACUGUUGCAAACAGAUCCAUAGAAGUAAUACUGAAUUUUUAAGAAGUACGAUUACCUGCAAUUACCACAACAAAGCGAAAAGACAGACUAUAUUUCAUCUGUUGUCUUACACUGUUCUUUCAAAACUACUGUCUCAAAUACUGGAGGUUGAAUACAUCUAUGAUACACCAACAAAAACUUUUCUUCAAAAAAAUUUUUAAUAUUUUGUUAUAAACCUAUCUGUCAU
RNAcentral lists this long non-coding RNA (561 nucleotides) under Struthio camelus australis. RNAcentral describes it as "lncRNA (ENSSCUG00000002097.1)". The record is from RNAcentral. Lineage: Eukaryota; Metazoa; Chordata; Aves; Struthioniformes; Struthionidae.